UACGGAGGAUCCAAGCGUUAUCCGGAUUUAUUGGGUUUAAAGGGUGCGUAGGCGGAUUGAUAAGUUAGAGGUGAAAUGUCCGAGCUCAACUCGGGAACUGCCUCUAAUACUGUUGAUCUAGAGAGUAGAUGCGGUAGGCGGAAUGUAUGGUGUAGCGGUGAAAUGCUUAGAGAUCAUACAGAACACCGAUUGCGAAGGCAGCUUACCAAUCUAUAUCUGACGUUGAGGCACGAAAGCGUGGGGAGCAGACAGG
Molecule: ribosomal RNA, 253 nt
Filed under: uncultured bacterium
Lineage: Bacteria
Description: partial 16S ribosomal RNA
Rfam family: Bacterial small subunit ribosomal RNA
Source: RNAcentral